GAUGAACGCUGGCGGCGUGCCUAACACAUGCAAGUCGAGCGGACAGACGCGGCUUUUGCUCGUCUGACGUUUGGGGCGGACGGGUGAGUAACAUGAGUAUACCUUACUUUUCAGACUGAGAUCAUUACGGGAAUCCGGAGAUAACACCGGAUAAUAUAUUGAACCGUGUGGUUCAUUGGAGAAAGUCGGCUUUGCUGUCACUACUCGAUGGUUACGAGCUGCAUUGGCUAGUUGGUAAGGUAACGGCCUACCAAGGCUAGGAUGCGUAGGCGAACUGCGAGGGUGGUCGGCCACCCUGGAACUGAGACGCGGUCCAGACUCCUACGGGAGGCAGCAGAAGGGAAGCGUCGGCAAUGGGCGAAAGCCUGACGCAGCAAGGCCGCGUGUGUUAUGAAGGUCUUCGGAGCGUAAAGCUCUGUUAUGAGGGAAGAACAGAUGUCUAAGUAACCAUAGACGUAUUGACGGUACCUAAUCAAAAAGCCACGGCUAACUACGUG
This 497-nucleotide ribosomal RNA is filed under the name uncultured bacterium. RNAcentral's name for it is "partial 16S ribosomal RNA". It matches the Rfam family "Bacterial small subunit ribosomal RNA", at positions 28 to 507 of the family's 1533-position model. The record is from RNAcentral.